GGUGCUCAGUAUGAGAAGAACCGCACC
RNAcentral lists this ribosomal RNA (27 nucleotides) under synthetic construct. The record is from RNAcentral.